RNAcentral lists this ribosomal RNA (497 nucleotides) under uncultured bacterium. RNAcentral describes it as "partial 16S ribosomal RNA". It matches the Rfam family "Bacterial small subunit ribosomal RNA", at positions 28 to 507 of the family's 1533-position model. The record is from RNAcentral.
GAUGAACGCUGGCGGCGUGCCUAAUACAUGCAAGUCGAGCGAACAGACGAGGAGCUUGCUCCUCUGACGUUAGCGGCGGACGGGUGAGUAACACGUGGCUAACCUACCUAUAAGACUGGGAUAACUUCGGGAAACCGGAGCUCAUACCGGAUAAUAUAUUGAACCGCAUGGUUCAAUAGUGAAAGACGGUUUUGCUGUCACUUAUAGAUGGAUCCGCGCCGCAUUAGCUAGUUGGUAAGGUAACGGCUUACCAAGGCAACGAUGCGUAGCCGACCUGAGAGGGUGAGCGGCCACACCGGAACUGAGACACGGUCCAGACUCCGACGGGAGGCAGCAGUAGGGAAUCUUCCGCAAAGGGCGAAAGCCUGACGGAGCAACGCCGCGUGAGUGAUGAAGGUCUUCGGAUCGUAAGACUCUGUUAUUAGGGAAGAACAAAUGUGUAAGUAACUAUGCACGUCUUGACGGUACCUAAUCAGAAAGCCACGGCUAACUACGUG